Molecule: Y RNA, 95 nt
Organism: Callithrix jacchus (white-tufted-ear marmoset)
Lineage: Eukaryota; Metazoa; Chordata; Mammalia; Primates; Cebidae
Rfam family: Y RNA
About the family: Y RNAs are components of the Ro ribonucleoprotein particle (Ro RNP), in association with Ro60 and La proteins.
Source: Ensembl
GGCUGGUCCAGUGGUAGUGGGUUAUCAAAACUUACUAACAUUAGUGUCACUAAAGUUGGUAUACAACCCCCACUGCUAAAUUUGACUGACUUUUC